AGAUCAAGAAUCCAAAGAAGAAUGAGGAAAAGAAAAAGUUGAGGAAUAGUCCCUAAAUUUCAAUAUCUUCUACAAAUUAGCCGGAUUGACUUGAAGUGAAGUGGGUAGAUCGGAUCAACACAACAAAGCACACUAUCGAGAUCAAGUCCGGUAGCUUUUGUUUUAUGUUUGAAGAUUUAUAUGGCAUGUAUAGAGUUUAAAUGAAAUGAAGUAAAGAUGUUAUAAACUAGUUAACAACAUUUUGUACUAAAACAGUUUUUGGUUAGUAGCAGUAGUUUGAGUUUGAAAAUUUACCAUAAA
Long non-coding RNA from Gossypium arboreum, 300 nucleotides. RefSeq lists it as uncharacterized. NCBI's taxonomy places the organism in Eukaryota, Viridiplantae, Streptophyta, Magnoliopsida, Malvales, Malvaceae. The record is from RefSeq and is a predicted model, not a curated record. The transcript has 2 exons.